RNAcentral lists this long non-coding RNA (222 nucleotides) under Physcomitrium patens. RNAcentral describes it as "long non-coding RNA (PPAT_LNC012166)". Lineage: Eukaryota; Viridiplantae; Streptophyta; Bryopsida; Funariales; Funariaceae. The record is from RNAcentral.
GUGUGGAAUAUAUACUUUUCUAUCUUGACAUAUAAUCUUAUAUCUCUAAAUUUUUGUAAUACAUGACAAAUUUGAAGUUCAUAUUCUUCUAUAUUCUUAGAGUAGAUUAAAUUAUCAUAUAAGUAAUAAAUAAAAAAUUAUCAAAAAACUCAUAAGAAUUAUUAUUUAUAAGAUAUUAAAAAUAAUUUUGUAUAAUUAUGAAUUUCAAAAGCAUAAUAUUAU